CCUACGGGGGGCAGCAGUGAGGAAUAUUGGUCAAUGGCCGUAAGGCUGAACCAGCCAAGUCGCGUGAAGGAAGAAGGAUCUAUGGUUUGUAAACUUCUUUUAUAGGGGAAUAAAGGUAUCCACGUGUGGAUAUUUGCAUGUACCCUAUGAAUAAGCAUCGGCUAACUCCGUGCCAGCAGCCGCGGUAAUACGGAGGCUGCGAGCGUUAUCCGGAUUUAUUGGGUUUAAAGGGUGCGUAGGUUGUUGUUUAAGUCAGGGGUGAAAGUUUGUGGCUCAACCAUAGAAUUGCCGUUGAAACUGGAAGGCUUGAGUGUGUGUGAGGUAGGCGGAAUGCGUGGUGUAGCGGUGAAAUGCAUAGAUAUCACGCAGAACACCGAUUGCGAAGGCAGCUUACUGGGCCAUAACUGACACUGAGGCACGAAAGCGUGGGGAUCAAACAGGAUUAGAUACCCGGGUAGUC
RNAcentral lists this ribosomal RNA (460 nucleotides) under uncultured bacterium. RNAcentral's name for it is "partial 16S ribosomal RNA". It matches the Rfam family "Bacterial small subunit ribosomal RNA", at positions 338 to 795 of the family's 1533-position model. The record is from RNAcentral.